RNAcentral lists this ribosomal RNA (254 nucleotides) under uncultured bacterium. RNAcentral's name for it is "partial 16S ribosomal RNA". It matches the Rfam family "Bacterial small subunit ribosomal RNA", at positions 524 to 776 of the family's 1533-position model. The record is from RNAcentral.
UACGGAGGGGGCUAGCGUUGUUCGGAAUUACUGGGCGUAAAGGGCGCGUAGGCGGUUCGGUAAGUUAGGCGUGAAAGGCCCGGGCUCAACCCGGGAACUGCGCUUAAGACUGCCGGGCUAUGAGUCCGGGAGAGGAUGGCGGAAUUCCCAGUGUAGAGGUGAAAUUCGUAGAUAUUGGGAAGAACACCAGUGGCGAAGGCGGCCAUCUGGCCCGGUACUGACGCUGAGGCGCGAAAGCGUGGGGAGCAAACAGG